GAACUUCACAACACUGUUUAUUUUCAACACUUCGAUACUUGUCAGGAAAAUUGUUGGAAUCGACUUCCGGCGAGGUGGUCAGCUCCAACCAGGAGGGGAGGUGACUCGAUCAUCUGAGGCGCGGCUCUGUUCCUCGUCCCGAGGAACCAAUUUCAAGGGUAACCAGCCACAUCCGCCACAACCUCCAUGUUAAAUUUGGUCACACUAGAAGGCUCGAAACACUGCGCCACGUCUUUUCCCAGUGUCCCUGAUUCAAGAAGAUCAUCAUCAUCAACUGGUGUUUCCUGGUGCUAGGCCUGGAAAUUGAUCAAUGCUUUGCAAUCUGGCCAUUCCAUACACGAUCAUCAGGGGCACAGGAAGGUGGCGCGGCAUCAAUCGAAUGGCGGAGAGGAUGAAGAGCGACAUGUUGCGCCUGCAGGACCCUCCACGACAAGCAGCAUCGAACGAUGAAGCGCAAAUGCGAGCAGUCUCAGUCCACCAACAGACAGCGAUCCGGAUUUAAGUCUCUUUCUGGUGGACGUCUGGAGCACAGUCUGAACCCCCCAAUGGAGGAUCGGGCAGCGACUACCGCCCAAUUUAGUUGACUAGCCGAUCUCCAGCAGAAGGUCUGCCUCAACAACCGGGACAACCGCCUCCGCUGCCUUACUAAAAUCAGCAAGAAGACGCAUUCAAAGCCCUAGUCGAGCAGGAGCCUUCCAGAAGGAGUAGCGGAUGCAGUCCGACCUCGAGAAGGCCCAGAAAUAUGUUCGCGGGAAAAGGAGAUGCAAAUGCCGCAGGGACUGCCAUCUCCACUGGCAAUGCCGGUGGCGAAAGUGGCAACUGCCGCGGCUUAUGCCGCGGGAAUCUGAUUAACGACCAACUUAACAUCCAUCUUGACCGAUCUCGAAAGGAACUUCUUCCUGUUGAACCCACUCGACGUGGCCGCAGGCCACUCUUCAUGUUCCGUUGGUCACUAGCUAAAAGUGGCUUGUUUUUCAUUGGAAGAAGCAUCAGCAUGGACUGAUGGACUGAUGGACUGAUGGUAGGAGUUUGGUCCGAAUCCAAAGCGUUGACCACGUUCUAGGCCUGGGGACAGAAGACACUUGUUGAUGUUGAUGGUGUUCCUGGAUCAGUCCUCGCUGGAAGAAGUACUGGCGCAUCGUUCCGAUCCAGCCAGAUUGAACAUAUUGAACAUGGGGGGGCUGCGCGUUUAUGGCUCCGGCUCCUUCUACACCUACAACUACUAUGUUUCACUCGGCAGAUACCUAAAAGGCAUAAAAGUGUGUGAAAG
Molecule: long non-coding RNA, 1270 nt
Organism: Drosophila persimilis
Lineage: Eukaryota; Metazoa; Arthropoda; Insecta; Diptera; Drosophilidae
Exons: 3
Source: RefSeq, a predicted model, not a curated record